CUGAUCGAGACGUUGGGCCAACGCCGGUGCAGCGAGCCCGUUUCCGGGAACAAGUUUCCCGAAAGCGUCGAAGAGUCAG
Regulatory RNA element from Methanoculleus bourgensis, 79 nucleotides. It matches the Rfam family "L4-Archaeoglobi ribosomal protein leades". The record is from Rfam. NCBI's taxonomy places the organism in Archaea, Methanobacteriati, Methanobacteriota, Methanomicrobia, Methanomicrobiales, Methanomicrobiaceae.